UAGACAGGUUUUUGAAUAUCUAUAAUGGC
Molecule: non-coding RNA, 29 nt
Filed under: Mus musculus (house mouse)
Lineage: Eukaryota; Metazoa; Chordata; Mammalia; Rodentia; Muridae
Source: RNAcentral